CGGGGAAAGAAGACCCUGUUGAGCUUGACUCUAGUCCGACUUUGUGAGGAGACAUGAUGGAUGUAGUAUAGGUGGGAGCUGGGUGCUUCGGUGUCCAGCGCAAAUGAAAUACCACUGCUAUCAUUGUUUCUUUACUUAUUCAGUGAAACGGGAACGAAAUUGUAUUUUGGUUCAAAGCACAUUUCGGGGUGCGUGGUCUAUCGCUGCGUGCUUCGAUAUCUUGGUCAUGUCAGAUGAGUCGUGGUGCAAAUUGCGGUGUUUGAGUCUUGAUGUGAUGUGCGACCCGUUCUGAAGACCAUGUCAGGCGGGGAGUUUGACUGGGGCGGUACAUCCGUCAAAUGGUAACGCGGGUGUCCUAUGGUGAGCUCAGUCAGGACAGAAACCUGGCGUAGAGUAAAAGGGCAAAAGCUUACUUGAUUUUGAUUUUCAGUACGAAUACAGACCGUGAAAGCGUGGCCUAUCGAUCCUUUUGAUGUUAUUUUCGGAGUUUGAAGCAAGAGGUGUCAGAAAAGUUACCACAGGGUUGGGAGGCAAAAUCCGACUCACACGUCCUCGUCGUGCCUCCUGGAUCAUGGGACUGAUUCCAUGAACUAACGUGAGCGGUAACCCG
Schistosoma mansoni is the source of this 610-nucleotide non-coding RNA. Lineage: Eukaryota; Metazoa; Platyhelminthes; Trematoda; Strigeidida; Schistosomatidae. The record is from Rfam.